RNAcentral lists this ribosomal RNA (253 nucleotides) under uncultured bacterium. RNAcentral describes it as "partial 16S ribosomal RNA". It matches the Rfam family "Bacterial small subunit ribosomal RNA", at positions 524 to 776 of the family's 1533-position model. The record is from RNAcentral. RNAcentral also lists the same sequence under 1 other name.
UACAGAGGGUGCAAGCGUUAUCCGGAAUUACUGGGUUUAAAGGGUGCGUAGGCGGUUUGUUAAGUCAGUGGUGAAAUUUCAGCGCUUAACGCUGGCAUUGCCAUUGAUACUGGCGAACUUGAGACACAGUGAGGUUGGCGGAAUGGGACAUGUAGCGGUGAAAUGCAUAGAUAUGUUUCAGAACACCGAUUGCGAAGGCAGCUGACUGGCUGUUGUUUGACGCUGAGGCACGAAAGCGUGGGGAUCAAACAGG